Molecule: ribosomal RNA, 1542 nt
Filed under: Triticum aestivum (bread wheat)
Lineage: Eukaryota; Viridiplantae; Streptophyta; Magnoliopsida; Poales; Poaceae
Description: partial small subunit ribosomal RNA
Source: RNAcentral
UCCGUCGGGUACGGCUACGCACCGUCGCCUUGACCGGUCCUGGAGCCGCGGAAGCAGGUGAGGUCGGUGUGUCUUGCGCGUGUUUUUACCGCGAGCGGCGGCGCGGGAGGGCGGCCAAGGGGCGGCGAGGAGGGGCUGGUGGCGGCAGAAGCGGAGAGGUCUCUGUGCGGGUGAAGGCGGGAGUCUUGGGUGCAGCGUGGGGAAGAGGUGAGGAGCGGCGGCGCCAGCGGCGGGGCGAGUGGCGUCGCCUGUGCCUCCCCGCCUUCGUGCUCGACGACGCCCGCCACGUCCUCUGCCCCGCGCCGAGCCCCCGGUCGGGGCUGGUCGCGCGCCGGUAGCUCCUACGGUAGCACAGGCACCUCCUCGAGCCGCGGCCCCUCCCCCGUGGCGACCUGGAGCGACGCGAGCUGCCGUGGACCUCCGACACGAUGUGCAGACGCAGCCUGCACGAAUACGAGAAGCUCCGCCGGCUCUCUGAGGGAGAGGACGUCCAUCCCGUUUAUAUGGUCUUUAAACUCACGUUCCCAGCCAGCCUACCACCUUAACACGCCUUACAGCACGCAACCUCGUAGCUCUUGAACGACCUCCUCGUUCUCCCACGUUGUGACUACCAGAGACGUUUUAAACUACAAGACAGAUUCUCGUUGUAUAAAGAAGUCAAGCUCCUCCAACGACAUCUCUUAUAGUUCUAAUCACUCGUCGAUGUUCGUGACUAUCGAGGACGAUAUGAAGGAGCCAGAAAAAACUCAGAAGUCUAUAACGUCAAGGAAUUUUGAAAGGCUCGAGUUCAAGGAUAGUCGCCGGGCCUUUCUGCUAGCGGACCUCCUGAUAUGAUAGAAAGAAUGGAACUGGCACUGUACGAGGACCCCGCAAGUCAACCGCCACCACCACAAAAAUAAAAGUGUUCUCGGGUCGGAGAUAAUACUUCCAAAAGAUUAAAGGUACCCACACAACAUAUUAUUUACUACCAAUAUCUACCCGAAUGGACGUAUGUAAUCCAUACACUUUAGACUAAUGACAGGUCAAGAUGAAUAUCGUUAGUGGAAGACGAAGGCACACAGUUCUUUUUAGAAAAACAAGUAGUCCAAAGAUUCAAUUAACUGAACUACUGAAAAAUAAGACACGUAACCGUACACAAAAACAAACUCAAGACGAUAUACAUGCCGCAAAAGUGCAAGCUGUGUUCAUGUUAUCGUCUACGUACACGAAAGUAGCUUAGAUGGUCGAGAUAGACCUUUUCCUUUGUUCACCUCGUACGUCGGGUCAACUCUGUGUAGCCUAGCAUACUCUAAACAUGGACUUUUAUAGUAUACGUUUCGUUAAGGCAAAAACAAAGAUCAUAAUAGUAACAACUUCACAUAUAUACCUAACGGAUCGGGAAAGGUAGUCAAGCCUGAAAACCAACGCAACCGAUCACGUACUUCGAACUGUUAGUAUAGACGUAAGAAAAGUUACACGGAUAUAGUGAGUCAUGGUGACCGCUAUACACUAACAAGUACGGAUAAUGACAUUAGAAUCGGAUUGUUUAAAUGAUUAGACGUG